Molecule: ribosomal RNA, 253 nt
Filed under: uncultured bacterium
Lineage: Bacteria
Description: partial 16S ribosomal RNA
Rfam family: Bacterial small subunit ribosomal RNA
Source: RNAcentral
UACGAAGGGGGCGAGCGUUGUUCGGAAUUACUGGGCGUAAAGGGCGCGCAGGCGGCCCUUGAAGUCAGGCGUGAAAGCCCCGGGCUCAACCUGGGAGGUGCGCUUGAUACUCGAGGGCUUGAGUGCGGGAGAGGAGAGUGGAAUUCCCAGUGUAGAGGUGAAAUUCGUAGAUAUUGGGAAGAACACCGGUGGCGAAGGCGGCUCUCUGGGCCGUUACUGACGCUGAGGAGCGAAAGCGUGGGGAGCGAACAGG